This 500-nucleotide ribosomal RNA is filed under the name uncultured Glomeromycotina. RNAcentral describes it as "partial small subunit ribosomal RNA". It matches the Rfam family "Eukaryotic small subunit ribosomal RNA", at positions 591 to 1092 of the family's 1831-position model. The record is from RNAcentral. Lineage: Eukaryota; Fungi; Glomeromycota.
CCACUAGCGUAUAUUAAAGUUGUUGCAGUUAAAAAGCUCGUAGUUGAAUUUCGGGGUUAGUAGGUUGGUCAUGCCUCUGGUAUGUACUGGUCUCACUGAUUCCUCCUUCCUGAUGAGCCGUAAUGCCAUUAAUUUGGUGUUGCGGGGAAUUUGGACUGUUACUUUGAAAAAAUUAGAGUGUUUCAAGCAAGCUAACGCUUGAAUACAUUAGCCUGGAAUCAUGAAAUAGGACGUUCGAUCCUAUUUUGUUGGUUUCUAGGAUUGACGUAAUGAUUAAUAGGGAUAGUUGGGGGCAUUAGUAUUCAAUUGUCAGAGGUGAAAUUCUUGGAUUUAUUGAAGACUAACUACUGCGGAAGCAUUCGCCAAGGAUGUUUUCAUUAAUCAAGAACGAAAGUUAGGGGAUCGAAGACGAUCAGAUACCGUCGUAGUCUUAACCAUAAACUAUGCCGACUAGGGAUCGGAUGAUGUUAAUUUUUUAAUGACUCAUUCGGCGCCUUACG